UGGGUUAUAGCUUAAGGAUAGCAUCUCAGUUACGUUGAGAAGAUCACUGUAGUUGGUGUGGCCUGA
This 66-nucleotide transfer RNA is filed under the name Typhlopatsa pauliani. Its description in RNAcentral is "tRNA-Val". The record is from RNAcentral. Lineage: Eukaryota; Metazoa; Arthropoda; Malacostraca; Decapoda; Atyidae.